Molecule: long non-coding RNA, 353 nt
Organism: Oreochromis aureus
Lineage: Eukaryota; Metazoa; Chordata; Actinopteri; Cichliformes; Cichlidae
Source: Ensembl
CGACUUUUCGCUACGCUGGCGCUCUGGGAAUACUAACCAUUUCAAAAACUACUAGCUAAAACUAACAACCCCGCUUUUUUUCCUUCGUUAUCCACGAGACUUUACAGCUUGUUCUCUGCGACAGUAUCUCAGAAACACUGCGACGUGUGUAUUUUCAAGGUGGAAGCACGAAGAUUCACUGACAGCUGGAGUGUGUACCAAGCUGGUCUAGUUACCUGUUUGGUGGAUGACUGGAUUCAGCAGACUGUUUGAAAAGUUAAGGCCUGGGGAAAGUUAAUGAGAAGAUUCGAUCAGCUGGCAAACCACCCCCACCACCCCCGCCCCCACCUUCCUCGACGCCAUCCUCUUAUCCC